GUCUAUGGUCAUACCACAUUGAAUGCGUCAGAUUUCGUGUGAUCUCAGAAUCUAAGCAGGGUUGGGCCUGGUUAGUACUUGGAUGGGAGACCACCUGGAACACUGGGUGCUCUAGGCU
Molecule: ribosomal RNA, 118 nt
Organism: Cercocebus atys (sooty mangabey)
Lineage: Eukaryota; Metazoa; Chordata; Mammalia; Primates; Cercopithecidae
Source: Ensembl